UGAGGAAUAUUGGUCAAUGGACGAGAGUCUGAACCAGCCAAGUAGCGUGCAGGAUGACGGCCCUAUGGGUUGUAAACUGCUUUUGUUUGGGCAUAAUCGACAUUACGUGUAAUGUUUUUCAUUUACCAUUCGAAUAAGGACCGGCUAAUUCCGUGCCAGCAGCCGCGGUAAUACGGAAGGUCCAGGCGUUAUCCGGAUUUAUUGGGUUUAAAGGGAGCGUAGGCCGUUUGGUAAGCGUGUUGUGAAAUGUAGGAGCUCAACUUCUAGAUUGCAGCGCGAACUGUCAGACUUGAGUGCGCACAACGUAGGCGGAAUUCAUGGUGUAGCGGUGAAAUGCUUAGAUAUCAUGAAGAACUCCGAUUGCGAAGGCAGCUUACGGGAGCGCAACUGACGCUGAAGCUCGAAGGUGCGGGUAUCGAACAGG
This 424-nucleotide ribosomal RNA is filed under the name Verrucomicrobiota bacterium. RNAcentral's name for it is "Verrucomicrobia bacterium partial 16S ribosomal RNA". It matches the Rfam family "Bacterial small subunit ribosomal RNA", at positions 355 to 776 of the family's 1533-position model. The record is from RNAcentral. Lineage: Bacteria; Pseudomonadati; Verrucomicrobiota.